UUCCUUUUGCAGCAAAUNUGUUAAGAUUGGAAUGAUACUGAGAAGAUUAGCAUGGCCCCUGUGUAAAGAUGACACACACAUUCAUGAAGCAUUCCAUAUUUUU
RNAcentral lists this small nuclear RNA (103 nucleotides) under Neotoma lepida (desert woodrat). The record is from RNAcentral. Lineage: Eukaryota; Metazoa; Chordata; Mammalia; Rodentia; Cricetidae.